GACGAACGCUGGCGGCGCGCUUAACACAUGCAAGUCGAACGGAAAGGCCUGCUUUCCCUUGUGGAUUGCGGGUACUCGAGUGGCGAACGGGUGAGUAACACGUGAGUGAUCUGCCCCCAACUUGGGUAUAAGCCUGGGAAGCUGGGUCUAAUUCCCGAUAGGACUGCAGGGUGGUGCCUGUGGUGGAAAACGAUUUUCUAGUGGUUGGGGAUGGGCUCGCGGCCUAUCAGCUUGUUGGUGGGGUAAUGGCCUACCAAGGCGGCGACGGGUAGCCGGCCUGAGAGGGUGGACGGCCACAUUGGGACUGAGAUACGGCCCAGACUCCUACGGGAGGCAGCAGUGGGGAAUAUUGCACAAUGGGCGGAAGCCUGAUGCAGCGACGCCGCGUGGGGGAUGACGGCCUUCGGGUUGUAAACUCCUUUCGACCGCGAGGAAGCCACCUGGUUGGAAGGGUGGUGACGGUAGUGGUAGAAGAAGCACCGGCUAACUACGUG
Molecule: ribosomal RNA, 494 nt
Filed under: uncultured bacterium
Lineage: Bacteria
Description: partial 16S ribosomal RNA
Rfam family: Bacterial small subunit ribosomal RNA
Source: RNAcentral